UACGGAGGGUGCAAGCGUUAUCCGGAUUCACUGGGUUUAAAGGGUGCGUAGGCGGCUUAUUAAGUCAGGGGUGAAAGACGGUGGCUCAACCAUCGCAGUGCCCUUGAUACUGAUGAGCUUGAAUACACUUGAGGUAGGCGGAAUGUGACAAGUAGCGGUGAAAUGCAUAGAUAUGUCACAGAACACCAAUUGCGAAGGCAGCUUACUAAGGUGCAAUUGACGCUGAGGCACGAAAGCGUGGGGAUCAAACAGG
RNAcentral lists this ribosomal RNA (253 nucleotides) under uncultured bacterium. RNAcentral describes it as "partial 16S ribosomal RNA". It matches the Rfam family "Bacterial small subunit ribosomal RNA", at positions 524 to 776 of the family's 1533-position model. The record is from RNAcentral.